Molecule: ribosomal RNA, 490 nt
Filed under: Axoniderma australis
Lineage: Eukaryota; Metazoa; Porifera; Demospongiae; Poecilosclerida; Cladorhizidae
Description: partial 28S ribosomal RNA
Source: RNAcentral
CAAAAAGACCGCGAAACCGUUAGGAGGGAAACGAAUGCAGCUGAAGCGGCUCCCCGUCAGGCUCAGGAGGAGGCGGAGGGUUCCCGGCGGCGGGCGGAGGCCGACGAGGCUCCGGUUCGCCGUCGGGCGGGGCCCUUUUCCGUCCACUCUGCACUUCUGCGGGGAGCCGGCCAACGGCGGUUGCCCCCGGCUCUGGAGGCGUUUUCCGGGGGAGGUGGCCCCGCGCUCCGGCGCGGGGAGCGUACAGCCCCGGCGCCCGGCAGUCCGGGCGAUUUUCCACGCGAAAGCAGGCGACCGAGGAGAGACGUUUGCGGUCCCUCGCACGUCGCGGCGCGGUCCUUCCUCCCUCUCGCGGGGCCCCCUCGGGGGUGGCGCGGGGGCGGCGGAGGGCUGGACCUCUCCCGUCGGGUCGGCGGCCGAGGCGGCUCACUGCGCGUCAGUGGUCGUCGACGGUUCCGUCGCCUUCCGGCGGGGGGCGGGUCACACCUCG